ACGGGGGGUGCAAGCGUUAUUCGGAAUUAUUGGGCGUAAAGGGUGCGUAGGCGGUUUUGUAAGUCAGAUGUGAAAUACCGGGGCUUAACUUCGGAACUGCAUUUGAUACUGCAAGACUUGAGUAUGGGAGAGGGAAGCGGAAUUCCUGGUGUAGAGGUGAAAUUCGUAGAUAUCAGGAGGAACACCGGUGGCGAAGGCGGCUUCCUGGACCAAUACUGACGCUGAGGCACGAAGGCGUGGGGAGCAAACAG
Molecule: ribosomal RNA, 251 nt
Filed under: uncultured prokaryote
Description: partial 16S rRNA
Rfam family: Bacterial small subunit ribosomal RNA
Source: RNAcentral